UUCAGGGAAAAGUUAUUUAUAACAUUACACACAGGGUCAUCACUGCUACCCCCUCCCCCCCCUUAAAAAAAAACUCUAAUGCUACUCUUAUCACUUGGCUAAGAGUUAACUUCCAAAAACAAAUAAAUACCUCAUCCAUGCGACCAUUGAAUGUCUUACUUUGUUACUUCUUUUGGGUUAUUUGGACCCACCAUAACAAACGUAUAUUUGAGGGAAAAUUGUUGCACCA
Molecule: long non-coding RNA, 229 nt
Filed under: Capsicum annuum
Lineage: Eukaryota; Viridiplantae; Streptophyta; Magnoliopsida; Solanales; Solanaceae
Description: long non-coding RNA (CANN_LNC008586)
Source: RNAcentral